Canis lupus familiaris (dog) is the source of this 339-nucleotide long non-coding RNA. RefSeq lists it as uncharacterized. The record is from RefSeq and is a predicted model, not a curated record. The transcript has 3 exons. Lineage: Eukaryota; Metazoa; Chordata; Mammalia; Carnivora; Canidae.
UGAUUCAGAGCUACAACUUUCAAGUUGGCAAGAAACUACUGGCGAUUUCCCAGAAGCAAGCGGCAACUCCAGAUUUUACAGGACACCAGAUGGCAGACUUGCUCUUUCAUGCUCAAUGAGUUUGAGGCCUCAUUUGUCUACCUUCUCACAUGGCCAGGAGACUACUUGUGUCAAUCCCUCUGCUUCCCACCAUACUUCAUGCUACUCUACUCUGAUCCCAAAGAAAAGAGAUGAGAGGGGAUCAGGACUAAGAAAAAGGACACCGCCUCCCAGUGCCACACUGCACAAUGUUGGAUAAGUGAUGAUGGACUAGGUUACACUGGAAUACUGGAAGACAAG